GCUACUGGUUGUUUGUUUGUGUGUUGCGCAGGUACGGCCAGACGGAGGUGGUGGCGUGGUGCGCGUAGAGAGGAAGACCGAAGGCGCGGUUCGUGCGAGGGCAGAGCCUGGUUGCGGCGUUGGGGGUUUGCUACUAGGGUUUCUGCAAUCUUUGUGUUGGGCUUGUAACACGAUUGGGCUAGGGAUUAGGUCAUUCGGGUUUAGUGUUGGGUCAGAUUAGGUUUGGGUUAUAAUUUUGGGCUAGCUGAAAUUUGUAAAUGGACUGCUAAUAAUUUAAUUUAUUUGUUUUUCCUUUUCUGGUAUUUAUUAGGUUUUAAUAACUGGAUUCGGGCCGGGCAAAAUUUGGG
This 347-nucleotide long non-coding RNA is filed under the name Gossypium raimondii (Peruvian cotton). Its description in RNAcentral is "long non-coding RNA (GRAI_LNC004439)". Lineage: Eukaryota; Viridiplantae; Streptophyta; Magnoliopsida; Malvales; Malvaceae. The record is from RNAcentral.